UACGAAGGGGGCUAGCGUUGUUCGGAAUUACUGGGCGUAAAGCGCACGUAGGCGGGUUAUUAAGUUAGGGGUGAAAUCCCGGAGCUCAACUCCGGAACUGCCUUUGAUACUGGUAAUCUAGAGAUCGGAAGAGGUUAGUGGAAUUCCCAGUGUAGAGGUGAAAUUCGUAGAUAUUGGGAAGAACACCAGUGGCGAAGGCGGCUAACUGGUCCGAUACUGACGCUGAGGUGCGAAAGCGUGGGGAGCAAACAGG
RNAcentral lists this ribosomal RNA (253 nucleotides) under uncultured bacterium. RNAcentral's name for it is "partial 16S ribosomal RNA". It matches the Rfam family "Bacterial small subunit ribosomal RNA", at positions 524 to 776 of the family's 1533-position model. The record is from RNAcentral.